CGGAAGAGGGACAAAAACAACCACUCUCCACCAACAGGCAAAACCAUUGCAUCAAUGAUCGACCCGCGUGUGAUUACGAUACUGCACGCGAUCGUGGUCCGAGCAAAGGAACCAGGCAUACGCUCUACUUUGCAGUGCAAAGACUAAUGACACUGGGACAGCCACUACCACUGGCUCUCUUCGCCAACCGAACAGCUGUCCAGGAAUCCACGUGGUGUACGCUGGCAGCUUUAAUGUUCAGGAGGGAGUAGCGCACCCCAGUGGAUCUACUGUUUGGCUGAAGUGAGCCUACGAUGUGCGGAACAAGGUGCGGGAUUGAGAAGGGACUGAGCCCUAAACUGACCAGCCAGUGGGAGGGGCCCUGUGAGGCUAUAGGACAGUUUCCAAGGUUUGGGCAGUGGAUAAUGGAUUACCAAUUUAACCCUGGGGAUAUGUACUGUAUAUAGGGCAUAGAAGUGUACCACCUGGUUAGUUGGGUUGGAGAGUGAUGAGAGAACUAACUAACAGCUGAAAGGCACUGCACCUGAUACACGAUCCAACAUUGAGAAAGAUGUAUUCUAAAGUCUUAAGUUUGGACGGAUUUAUGUUGUGUCUGAAGUUCUGUCUCGACCUAACUAAGUAAUGCCUUUUAUAAAUGUCAGGAUCUGGUUCCAUAUGAUUGGAAACAGGUAUUGAUUACCUGGCUUUGAACUUGCCUGAGGAUCCUAAAUGAACCAGCUUCCUCUUUCAAAUCAGAGUACUUUAGAUUACAGCCAUGUAAUAACUAGGUAGCCGAUUAUUACACAGUAACUACAGUGUAAUUACCUGGUAAAGGGCUGGUGUAGUUACAUCUGGUACCAGCUUUUCAUGAAAUUACACUCAAUGGUGUCAUGGAAGGGGGAGGGCAUAGGCAUACAGGCAUGCUUUUGCAAUACAGUGCCACUGAAGGCAUAGAGCGGUCAACACGUUUUGCACGUCACAGUACAUUAUUACCACCGGUUUCUUCUCAUUAACCUGUUCUCACAUGAAAAAGUGAGCUGUGAAAGAGGGUGUGAUUGCAGUUCCAGCUUUGACUUUUAUCACAGUGCCUGAAAAAGGUGAGAAUCUAAAACAGCACCCUCAGAAUAACCAGUGCUUCCAUUUGUAACAGAUGUAUGAAACUAACUCAACAAUGCAUUGUAUUUAUUAAAGAAAAAAAAACAGAUUGAGAUGACUAUGACUAAAAUAAUACGGAAAUUCUUUAUCCACUCAAUGUUUCUGCAGAGGGAGAACAUGUAAUAACUUACUGUUGAAUUAUGUUUCCAGGAAUAAUUAAAUUAAAUGUUAUACUUGUUAGACAGUGAA
This is a long non-coding RNA of Polyodon spathula (Mississippi paddlefish), 1323 nucleotides long. RefSeq lists it as uncharacterized. The record is from RefSeq and is a predicted model, not a curated record. The transcript has 3 exons. Lineage: Eukaryota; Metazoa; Chordata; Actinopteri; Acipenseriformes; Polyodontidae.